GGUUGCUUAGCUCAGUUGGGAGAGCGCUUUCCUUACAAGAAAGUGGUCACUGGUUCGAUCCCAGUAGCAAUCACCA
This 76-nucleotide transfer RNA is filed under the name Aeromonas veronii. Its description in RNAcentral is "tRNA-Val". It matches the Rfam family "tRNA". Rfam says of the family: Transfer RNA (tRNA) molecules are approximately 80 nucleotides in length. Their secondary structure includes four short double-helical elements and three loops (D, anti-codon, and T loops). The record is from RNAcentral. RNAcentral also lists the same sequence under 1 other name. Lineage: Bacteria; Pseudomonadati; Pseudomonadota; Gammaproteobacteria; Aeromonadales; Aeromonadaceae.